GACGUAGGAGGCGAGCGUUGUCCGGAUUCAUUGGGCGUAAAGAGCGUGUAGGCGGCCAGGUAGGUCGGUUGUGAAAACUGGAGGCUCAACCUUCAGAGGUCGACCGAAACCAUCUGGCUAGAGUCCGGGAGAGGAGAGUGGAAUUCCUGGUGUAGCGGUGAAAUGCGCAGAUAUCAGGAAGAACACCCGUGGCGAAAGCGGCUCUCUGGAACGGUACUGACGCUGAGACGCGAAAGCGUGGGGAGCGAACAGG
This 253-nucleotide ribosomal RNA is filed under the name uncultured bacterium. RNAcentral's name for it is "partial 16S ribosomal RNA". It matches the Rfam family "Bacterial small subunit ribosomal RNA", at positions 524 to 776 of the family's 1533-position model. The record is from RNAcentral.